This 68-nucleotide transfer RNA is filed under the name Cornufer vitianus (Fiji ground frog). RNAcentral describes it as "Platymantis vitianus (Fiji ground frog) tRNA-Asp". Lineage: Eukaryota; Metazoa; Chordata; Amphibia; Anura; Ceratobatrachidae. The record is from RNAcentral.
GAGGGGUUAGUUAAGCAUAACGCUGCCUUGUCAAGGCUGAAUCACUAAUCACCAACUAGUACUCCUCU